UUCUAUUCUGUUAGUUCAGCGGCAUCCUUGACUGCUGCAUUUGUUUUGUUCAAUUAAUUAAACAAAGAGGUCAUUACACUGAAGUGGCUCUAAUGCCUUAGCAGCUUACAUACAUGGGAAACCAAAACCUUAGGCUGUCCAUCCCUCAAGGUGAAGAUCUUGGAACCUAAGGGCCACCCACCACAAACAGGCAGCUAGGCUUUUCCAAAUAAGGCAAAUGCAUGCACCAGAGUCAAAUAAUGUCCUUGCCUCGCUUCUGCAUCUUCUCUGUAAAAGUCUCUCCCUUAGCUCCUGUCUGCCUAAUUCAAAUUGAUUUUUGCUCAGAUCAGCUCUUAACACUUUCCAUUGGCUUCCAUUGAUCUUUUAACAGUUCUAACACCUUAAUGUGGGUUAAGAUGUUGCAAUAAGAUGUUUAAAUAAGUUAAAAUAGGAGAUGACCAAUUGUUCAAUGUGACAUUAAUUCUGGAGUUGGUGUUAUUUCUGGGAAUUUUUUCAUUUUUUGUAGAAAUUUUACCGAAGUACAGUUGAUUUGCAAUGUUGUGAUAAUUUCUGUUCUAUAACAUAGUGAUUCAGUUAGACAUAUACACACCUUGAUUCUUUUUUGGAUUCUUUUCAGGGAGUUUUUUAAUCCUGACUUCAAAGCGCUGUGAGACAAUGCAAGGCUUGGUAGAUAAUGAUAGUUAAUAUUUAUAAAGUUCUCACCCUGUAAGGGCACUAUUCCCAGGGCUUCCAUAUAUUGCAAUACUAUGAGGUAUAGACUCUUAAAAGGAGGAAAAAUUCCUCGACCCUCUUAGGGUCCAUGGCUGGGUCAGAAAAUGUAACUGGCAAAGACAGAUUAAUAGGAGAAAAACAUACAAGUCUGAUUCUAUUUUUACACUGUACAUGGGUGCCUUCACUAGAUCUGAAGAAGUGACCAGGGCGGGCAGAUUUUAUACUUUUUAGACAUCCAUAAAUUUGUGAAGAAUUGACAAAGGGGCUUGGGUAGGGAUAAUAAGUGGUGAAGAAAUAACUAGGAAGAACAGGUCUAAUUUAACAAGGUUUGUUUGUAUAGAUUUCUUGCCCCUGAUUCCCAAAGGACUCUAGUGAUAAGAAUGUCUUCCUUCCUCCUGGUAGAGGGAAGGCAUUUUCCAUUGAGAAUUUUACAACCUGUUUAGGGAAGAAGGGCGAGGGCGGGGAGGUCAGAGUGACCUUCCUGCUUCUGCUGUCUUUUAAAUUCCUUCAGUUGAAGAUACGUCAUAGGCCAAAGUGACAUAUUUUGUGUAGCACAUCCUGAACCUCAUCACUGUUGUUAGCUCCAUUUUACCGAAGAGGAGAAACCAAGGCAAAAAGAGGUUAAGUAACUUGGCCUAAGGUCACAAAUCUAGUUGCAGCACCUGGUUUGGACCCUGGUAGUCUGGCUCUAGAGCUCCUCCUCUUAUCUCUGCUAUAAAACAAGAGAAUAAUUCAAUAACAUAAUAAAAAAUAUAUUUGGUCUUUGUCCCCGGUUUCUGACAGAUCUAAAAUCCUUGGAAUUGCCCGAGAGAUGGGAGUGUCUUUUGGAACACACCCGAGUUUCAGUUAAUGAAGUGGCUUAGAUUGAGUUUCUCUGAAAGAAGCUGAAAGACCAAGUGACUGGAAGGUUGGACCUUUUGGCCCCACCCACCGACCUCUGAGAAUGGAAGUGGUAGGAGCUGAAGAUUAAACUCUUCACCUGUGGGAUGUGUUACUAUCUCCAGGUAGAUAGUGUCAGAAUUGAGUUCAGCUUGUAGGACACUCAGUAUAUGGGUCUGCUGAAAACUGGACAAUUACUUGGUGGUCUUGGAACACAUGCCAGAAUCACAAAAAGAGAGCUCAAAUAAUUAUUUAUAAAGUCUUAUUCAAAGUCUUAUUUCUUAUUCAUAAGGAAGUUCUGAUGGAGGUACAUGAUAAAAAUCUCUCUGUAGAGUCAAUAGCACUGUUUUGAAUUUGACAGACUUUGAACAGAUAUAUCCAAUUAAGAACAUAAAAAUCUAACCUCAAGCAACAUAAACUCUUCUGGAAAUGCUUUUCAUCUCCCCACAAUCCCCAACUCUCUGAUAGGAAAUCCCAGAAGUGACUAGGGAUCCUUUAACUUCAGAAAGGUGGAAUAAGGUCAUAGAAGGAUAUUCUGCCCCAGAAAUUUUUUUUAUUGUGGCCACUACUGGAGCCUCAGGACACCAUGGGAUAUAUGGAGAAUGCAGCAUUUGAGGUAACUUCACCUACACCUGUGCAGGAUAGGACAUCAACGACAGGCUGGUUAUCCUUCCCAGGCAGAAAAGACCAGGAGCUUAUAAAGAACAGAACUUUACCUCUUUGUAAAGUCUUGUCACGGGUGUCAAAUAUGCUUUCAGAAUACCUAUCAACUUCUGUGGCACAUUUCUGAAGCAAAAACAAAGUUUUCCAACAUUGUAAAGUGGUAAAUGUGUUCCUUCUCCAUCAGCCUUUGAACUUUUUUUUUAGUUUUUAAUUUUAAGAACUAAGAAAACUUUCUUUAAAUUAUUUAAGCAUUUAGGAAAAACAAAAGAAAAAUAAUUCAUUAAAUGUCACAAUAUUUUGAUAUCGUUUCCAAUGCAAACACAUUGGUAGUAAACUUGGGGAAAACUACACUUUUUCAAUACCUCUACUUAUGUUUAAGACAUAUAAUUUUGCCAAUAUAGUUUAAAAUUUCCUCCCUAGACAGACCAUUCUAAUUUCCUCCAAAGCACAAAGAAAGAGCAUUUUGAUUCUAGUAAGCACUCAUUAAAUGUGUAUUUAACACACCUUGAGAAUCAGGAUAUAGUGUUCUAAGAUGUAAAUCUGUCUGUGUUAGACUCUAUUUCAAUGUUUCUAUGACUCCUUGCUGCUCUCAGGGUAAAGUCCAAAUGCCACAGCAGAGGAUUGGGAGUAAGCAGGAACCACAGCAGGCCAGACCUUUGAACACGCUGCCUCCUUCACCUGGAAUGACUUCUGCACCUUCUUCCAGCCCUUCCUCCAGCCCCCUCUUGCCCCAGAUCUCAGUUUGAUGCCCUGUCUUUCCUGAACACCCCCUAGUAAGACGGGUUGGGUGCCCUCCCAGCUGCUGCUGGUCUUCACAUUCACUAAGACAGGGAAUACAUAUUCUCUCCCUUGGGUCCCCAGACAGUGCUGACACACAGUCUAUGACUGAUAAGUGUUUGUUCAAUCAAUGAAUCAAUAACAUUGAUCCACAUUAUCAAAACAUUGACAUAAGACUAUAGCUCAUAUACUUCUUCUAGAUACUCAGUUAAAUGCCAUCCAUGGCACACUCUCCAGCUGAAUUUUCUUUUAAAGAUGUCUUUAAUUGAUUCAACAAAUAUUGUUUGUUGCCAGGUAUUAUUCUAGGUCUUUAGGAACCUAGACCUCCAAUUCACCUUGGGGUCCAAUGGUGAACAAAACAAGGAUCCCUGCCUGCUGGAACUUAUGUUCUAACAAGGAGGUAGACAAUAAACAUCACAAGUAAUUAUGUGUGAUGUUAGGUGAUAACUAUUAUGAAGGAAAAAGUAGAGCAGGCCAAGGAGGUUCAGAUAUGGGAGGAUGGGGUACAAGUUACAGCUUUAAGUAAGGCUGUUCAGUAGACCUCAAUGCGAGGGUGACAUUUGAAUAAGUGUUAGAUUAAGUAUGGAUGUCGAGGGAAAGAAUACCCAGGCAGAGAGCCACUGAUGCCAAGGCCAGAUCCAAAGUAGGAUUUCGCUCAGCUUCUUCCAAGAACAGCCCACUGGCCAGAGGGGCUGGAGCAGAGUGAAUGGAAGGGAAGGAGAGGAGGGGAAGGCAGAGAGCAGGUGACAGAGGUAGGCACUGGGUCUGUAAGAGCUAAGUUCCACUCCAGUGGAAUGGAGGGCCAGGCAGGAUCCUGGGCAGAGGCGUGGUGGAUGUGCCCUGGCAUACUUAGAUUUUGAAUAUAUCAACCCCAUUUGGGGAACAAGCUCUAUUUUAGUAAACAAGAAAAUGGCUUUUCUUAAUUGAUGAUUUCCUCUUUCAUUUUCUUGUGCAGCCAAUUUUGUGCCAAAGGAAGAGUUUCCUCCUAUACGUCUGAAUCUUAUUCAGUAUUUCUCAGCCAAGUUAUCUUGGCGUACAGGAACGUUAUGACCUGUGGCUAGGAUUUUUCCAAAAUUCACAGCCAAGUUGAUUUUUAGCACACUGUCUUAAGAUGGAAUAUAGAAAAAAAUGCCAUUUUAAUUCUGAUUUUUCAAUAUUAUUUCAAAAUAAGUAGUGGUAAGAGUUCUUAUUAGAAGGGGUACCAGAUUAAUGAUGCAGUGUAAGAAUUUAUAAUUAUAGCUAUAUAACUGUCCUGCAGAAUGUUAUAUCAUCAUUGAAUCAAAUGUUUUUGUGGACCUUGGGAACAACACCAACAUUAGAGAAUCUUGUCAGUUUUUAGCAUAUCAAAAGAGACUGUAUACAUUCAUUGGAGCUGGUCCUAGAAGUGUUUUGACAUCUGCCAAAAGGAAAAACCACAUACAAGGUGUUUCAAAAGUGCACUAGAGAAAAUAUUUUACAGAAGAUGACUACAAAUGGAUGGCAAAUCUGACAAAAAAAAUGUUUCACUGAAAGGAAAUGCAAAGCAGUCACGAGGUACUUAAAAUGAAUUUCAAAAAGAAAGAAUAUUGGAAUAUUUGGGUGAGAAUAUAGAAAUGUAGUAAUACACUCUCAAACUGCUUGGGAGUGAGAACAGAGACAUUCUCAUACUGCUGGUGAACAGAAAGCAAUGUGAUACUGUGGUUUAUAAAGCUGAAAAAGAAUCACAUCUUUUGGCUUUAUACAUUUACUCCUAGGAGAGUUAGUUUAGGAAAUAAUGCAAAAAAAAUUUAAUUGCAGUAUUAUUUUAGAGAGAAAUUAUAUAUUAUGUAUAUAUAUAUAAAUAUUGCAAUGAAAGGAAGGUUAAGUAUUUAAGCCCAUAUUCAGAAAUGUUAAGCAACUUUAAAUAUUUUACAAAAAGUUAAUGAUAAGGAAAAUACUUAGAAUAAGUUUGCAGAAUGUAAAAGGUGAAGACAUAGUCUCGGCAUAUACAAAUAUAUGAUAGAAAUAAAAACUUAGUGGGAAAACACCAAACUGUUAAUGGUGGUUAUUUUGAAAUGGUGGUGUCAUGGGGGUAUUUUUCUUAUAGUUUGUACACAGAACUUGUAAUAACCAUGUAUACUAUUUCCAAAGCUUUUCUAUUUUACUAUAAAGUAUGUAUUGUAAUAUAUAAAUCUAUUUAAUCUUUGCACAAAACUUUCAAUAUUAUUUUAAAAUAAAACUAUACUCAGGGUAUAGCUAAGCAAUAAAAAAAGAAAAUCUUUUGAUCUAGUCAAUGAUAUAAAAUGAAUACAGGCAUGUAGAAUUCACCAGAACACCUUAAUUGAAGACUCUUGUAAAUUUUGUAGAUAUCAAACUAUUUGCUUGCUAUCAGUCUGAAUAAAAUGAAUUAGUAGCAGUCUAUUUGAUGCUAACUAUAGGGUAUCUUAACAUUUACCAAAUUAUUAAAGAAACUGACUUUAUAGAGAUUCUUAAGAUAGGCCAAACCUUAGAAGUAUUGCCAUAGAUGCACAGGAUAAAUAUUUCACGUAAAAAUCAGGAGUUCCCGUCGUGGCUCGGUGGUUAACGAACCCGACUAGCAUCCAUGAAGACAUGGGUUUGAUCCCUGGCCUCACUCAGUGGGUUAGUAAGGAUCUGGCAUUUCCAUGAACUGUGGUGUAGGUUGCAGACGAGGCUCAGAUCCCAAGUUGCUAUGGCUGUGGCGUAGGCUGGCAGCUGUAGCUCCGAUUAGACCCCUAGCCUGGGAACCCCCAUAUGCCAUGGGUGCGGCCCUAAAAAGACAAAAAAUGUAUAUAUAUUUCAUGUAAAAUCAACAAGGAAAAGGAAUGUUUGUAUAAGAAUCUAAACUCUAUGUACCUACAAGUAUCCCUGUACUAGGAUGUGUCGAAGAAAACUGAUGCAGAUUUGCAAGUCGUGAAGAACUUGUUCAAAAUCCUGGACAUAGAUAUUCCAGGUAAAAGAACAUCGCUGUUUUCACGUCUGGUGUUUCAUGCUUCUGCUAGUUUCGUCCAGUGAUAUCCCACCUUAGUGUCAGACUUGAUAUAAACAAAGAAAUCACUGGCUCUCUUUUUGGUGAAGGAGGCUUGUUAGUUUUUCAAAGGCAAGACAUUUAAUCUUGUUACUAGUAAAAAAUGGGUAUUGGUUCUUCUAAAAAUACAUGUCUUUUUUAAAAAAAUUAAGUCUUUGCUCUUGAAACUUUGGAAAAUCAGCCUUUCUAGAGGCCAUUCCAUUGUGAAGCAGUUGUGUUCAAAAACUUAGUUAGACCUUUUCCUCCUCUUGAGUCCUCAUUGCAUUGUUGGCUGCAUUUUCUACACCUUGGUGGCCCCAGUUGGUCUCCCUCAAAAACAAGCUAAGCAUGUGCGUAUUCAAAUCACUGUUCAGACAAAAGUGUAUUUUCCCUCUAGAUUCAAAUCCUGGUGACUAUAAUGGUGCGACUGCAGAAUAGUCUCCUGAAACAAAGCCACUCCAGCACGUCUAGGAGCUAUGCUCAGUUCUCCAGAAAGGCAAUUCCUGAAGUGCUCACCAGUUCAUCCAAGGGAGCAGUUCUUUCCUCCAAAGCUGGGUUCUCACCGUGCUUCCCCCUUUUGGUGCUUUAAACUAUUUUACUGGAACUCCCUCUCCCAGAAGUUGGAACCCUUGAUACAAACUUGUUACUGUUUGUGAUACAAAUGUGUUACUGUUUUCCUGGUCUUCAGUUUAGUUGGGGGUGGACUGUAGGCUAUCUUACCAAAGGUCACACAGAUGUUUAGGCUCCUCCAUUCAAGCAGUGAAGGCCAUAGCAUGAGUUCCACCCCAGCUCUAGCAGACACUUUGCACUUCAGAGCACUCCUAACUCAUAAAAAGACACAGUGCUGUCACUAUAUAACACCCAAAAGUAAGAGGGAGGAUAGGGAAGUGGGGAAAUGUUUUUCUGCUAAAUUACUUAGCCUGGCAAUCACUUGCCUUCCUAAGUUUCUUGUGAGUCAGUCCAUAAUGAACCUAGUUGUGUAUGAGCCAGCCGCCCUGUGGGUGAGGCUGGAAGCAGAUCCUUCAGCCUCAGUUAAGCCUCAGAUCUGCAGCUCCAGCUGAUAUGGGAUUGCACCUGCUUAGUUACAUGCUCACAUUCUAAACUGCCUUUUAGAAUGGCCAGGUCUUGUGUUCAAGGGGGCAGCUUUAUGUCACUGUGGCCACCUUGAUCUCCCAUGGAGAGCAGCUUGACAUGGGAAACUCUUAUGGAAAUACUCCCGAAAAACUUCUCUAUUUAGCCACGCAGAAAAGGUGUCAGAGAAGAUUUGAGCUUUAAACCUUAAACUUUUAGGACUGGAGGACUCGUCUCAAUAUUACUUCUAAAUUUCAUCAAACAUUAAGUCGUCUGUACCGGGAAAGUGUCUCCCAACUAGAUGACCAUCUUGCAACAUGUCUUUUUUGGUGAUUUCCUCUGUUUUGGUCUAUUUUUUAUUUGGUUAGGAGUUGAGAUAUUCCGUGGAAUCGAGUUAGCCUACUGAAUGAAUGGCUUUGAUUUCCUUUCAUGGGUAUUCAGCUUGUGUUUACCUGAUACUUUCUCCAGCUAAUCCGGGGAUACAGUCAUUUUUCUAUUAUUUAUAUAUAAGUGAUAUAUAUCUUAAGAGAACCUAAUACCAAAAACAUAAGCCUUUCAAUGUUUUAAUCUUGUAAUUUAUGACAGUUUUAUAGAAAUCUGGCAGUUAAAGUUGGAUAAAGAGCCACAGUGAUGUGUGUGAGUAAAGAUAUUUAUGAGGAAGAGCUGGCCCGUGAGCAAAAUUGUGAGCCAAGCCCCGGGUUUCUUUGAGGAUUGACAAUCUACCUCGCCCUUCCUGGCCUCUUCCGCUGGGUACCUGUGAUGAAUCAUGACCCCAAAUAAACUGGACUAGCUACUUCAUCUGAAAGCUCUGGGUGUCAGGUUAAGUUAUUAAUAUCUUCCUUUUUAUAGCAGAUAAGAACUGAGGCUUAAAGUAAGAUGCCUUGCUCAAAGUUACACAACUUGUUAAUGGCAAAUGCAGGACUUUAAAGCAGGUUUUCUGGUUUAAAAUUCCAUACUUUUCCAUAUGUCAGCCGUGCCUAAACUAACACGGGUUUUAUCUUUGUCUCUAAAAUGAUCUACAAUUAAAAAAUAAUUGGCUUUUGAAGUUCCCGUCGUGGCUCAGUGUUUAGCGAAUCCAACUAGAAACCAUGAGGUUGCGGGUUCAAUCCCUGGCCUUGCUCAGUGGGUUAAGGAUCCGGUAUUGCCGUGAACUGUGGUGUAGGUUGCAGAUGCGGCUUGAAUCUGGCAUUGCUGUGGCUCUGGUGUAGGCCGGCGGCUACAGCUCUGAUUCGACCCCUAGCCUGGGAACCUCCAUAUGCUGAGGGAGUGGCCCUAGAAAUGGC
Molecule: long non-coding RNA, 8367 nt
Filed under: Sus scrofa (pig)
Lineage: Eukaryota; Metazoa; Chordata; Mammalia; Artiodactyla; Suidae
Description: lncRNA (ENSSSCG00000063025.1)
Source: RNAcentral